GUUAGAGUGGCAGAGCCCGGCAAAUGCAAAAGACCUAAGCCCUUUCCAUAGAGGUUCAAAUCCUCUCCCUAACU
RNAcentral lists this transfer RNA (74 nucleotides) under Gymnodraco acuticeps. RNAcentral describes it as "tRNA-Leu". It matches the Rfam family "tRNA". From Rfam's summary of the family: Transfer RNA (tRNA) molecules are approximately 80 nucleotides in length. Lineage: Eukaryota; Metazoa; Chordata; Actinopteri; Perciformes; Bathydraconidae. The record is from RNAcentral. RNAcentral also lists the same sequence under 1 other name.